UUUCGGAGGGGGAACCUGCGGAGGGAUCAUU
Molecule: ribosomal RNA, 31 nt
Filed under: Cladosporium delicatulum
Lineage: Eukaryota; Fungi; Ascomycota; Dothideomycetes; Cladosporiales; Cladosporiaceae
Description: partial 18S ribosomal RNA
Source: RNAcentral